RNAcentral lists this ribosomal RNA (746 nucleotides) under Paenibacillus sp. E2.Pb 1. Its description in RNAcentral is "bacterial SSU rRNA". It matches the Rfam family "Bacterial small subunit ribosomal RNA", at positions 49 to 773 of the family's 1533-position model. The record is from RNAcentral. Lineage: Bacteria; Bacillati; Bacillota; Bacilli; Caryophanales; Paenibacillaceae.
UAAUACAUGCAAGUCGAGCGGAGUCUUACACUUUCUUCGGAAAGUGUUUGGCUUAGCGGCGGACGGGUGAGUAACACGUAGGUAACCUGCCCAUAAGACUGGGAUAACCCACGGAAACGUGAGCUAAUACCAGAUAGGCAUCUUCUUCGCAUGAAGGAGAUGAGAAAGACGGUUUCGGCUGUCACUUAUGGAUGGACCUGCGGCGCAUUAGCUAGUUGGUGAGGUAACGGCUCACCAAGGCGACGAUGCGUAGCCGACCUGAGAGGGUGAUCGGCCACACUGGGACUGAGACACGGCCCAGACUCCUACGGGAGGCAGCAGUAGGGAAUCUUCCGCAAUGGGCGAAAGCCUGACGGAGCAACGCCGCGUGAGUGAUGAAGGUUUUCGGAUCGUAAAGCUCUGUUGCCAAGGAAGAACGCUCAGGAGAGUAACUGCUCUUGAGGUGACGGUACUUGAGAAGAAAGCCCCGGCUAACUACGUGCCAGCAGCCGCGGUAAUACGUAGGGGGCAAGCGUUGUCCGGAAUUAUUGGGCGUAAAGCGCGCGCAGGCGGCGAUGUAAGUUGGGUGUUUAAACCUAGGGCUCAACCUUGGGUCGCAUCCAAAACUGCAUGGCUUGAGUGCAGCAGAGGAAAGUGGAAUUCCACGUGUAGCGGUGAAAUGCGUAGAGAUGUGGAGGAACACCAGUGGCGAAGGCGACUUUCUGGGCUGUAACUGACGCUGAGGCGCGAAAGCGUGGGGAGCAAAC